AGCGUUGUCCGGAAUUAUUGGGCGUAAAGAGCUCGUAGGCGGUCUGUCGCGUCGGUCGUGAAAACUUGGGGCUUAACCCUGAGCUUGCGGUCGAUACGGGCAUGACUGGAGUUCGGCAGGGGAGACUGGAAUUCCUGGUGUAGCGGUGAAAUGCGCAGAUAUCAGGAGGAACACCGGUGGCGAAGGCGGGUCUCUGGGCCGAUACUGAUGCUGAGGAGCGAAAGCGUGGGGAGCGAACAGG
Molecule: ribosomal RNA, 241 nt
Filed under: uncultured bacterium
Lineage: Bacteria
Description: partial 16S ribosomal RNA
Rfam family: Bacterial small subunit ribosomal RNA
Source: RNAcentral